UACGAAGGGGGCUAGCGUUGUUCGGAAUUACUGGCGUAAGCGUGCGCAGGCGGUGAGUGUAAGACAGAUGUGAAAUCCCCGGGCUCAACCUGGGACCUGCAUUUGUGACUGCAUCGCUGGAGUGCGGCAGAGGAGACUGGAAUUCCUGGUGUAGCAGUGAAAUGCGUAGAUAUCAGGAGGAAUACCGAUGGCGAAGGCAGGUCUCUGGGCUGACACUGACGCUCAUGCACGAAAGCGUGGGGAGCAAACAGG
Molecule: ribosomal RNA, 252 nt
Filed under: uncultured bacterium
Lineage: Bacteria
Description: partial 16S ribosomal RNA
Rfam family: Bacterial small subunit ribosomal RNA
Source: RNAcentral